AUCUACAACCAUACAACCCUGAACAGGCCCGAUGUCAUCUGAUCUCGGAAGCUAAGCAGGUUCGGGCCUGGUUAGUACUUGGAUAUAAGACUGCUUGGGAAUACCGGGUGCUGUAGUCU
Bos indicus x Bos taurus (hybrid cattle) is the source of this 119-nucleotide ribosomal RNA. Lineage: Eukaryota; Metazoa; Chordata; Mammalia; Artiodactyla; Bovidae. The record is from Ensembl.